Molecule: ribosomal RNA, 595 nt
Filed under: Aspergillus oryzae
Lineage: Eukaryota; Fungi; Ascomycota; Eurotiomycetes; Eurotiales; Aspergillaceae
Description: eukaryotic LSU rRNA
Rfam family: 5.8S ribosomal RNA (bases 213-366)
Source: RNAcentral
UCCGUAGGUGAACCUGCGGAAGGAUCAUUACCGAGUGUAGGGUUCCUAGCGAGCCCAACCUCCCACCCGUGUUUACUGUACCUUAGUUGCUUCGGCGGGCCCGCCAUUCAUGGCCGCCGGGGGCUCUCAGCCCCGGGCCCGCGCCCGCCGGAGACACCACGAACUCUGUCUGAUCUAGUGAAGUCUGAGUUGAUUGCAUCGCAAUCAGUUAAAACUUUCAACAAUGGAUCUCUUGGUUCCGGCAUCGAUGAAGAACGCAGCGAAAUGCGAUAACUAGUGUGAAUUGCAGAAUUCCGUGAAUCAUCGAGUCUUUGAACGCACAUUGCGCCCCCUGGUAUUCCGGGGGGCAUGCCUGUCCGAGCGUCAUUGCUGCCCAUCAAGCACGGCUUGUGUGUUGGGUCGUCGUCCCCUCUCCGGGGGGGACGGGCCCCGAAGGCAGCGGCGGCACCGCGUCCGAUCCUCGAGCGUAUGGGGCUUUGUCACCCGCUCUGUAGGCCCGGCCGGCGCUUGCCGAACGCAAAUCAAUCUUUUUCCAGGUUGACCUCGGAUCAGGUAGGGAUACCCGCUGAACUUAAGCAUAUCAAUAAGCGGAGGA